RNAcentral lists this unclassified non-coding RNA (823 nucleotides) under Hevea brasiliensis (rubber tree). Lineage: Eukaryota; Viridiplantae; Streptophyta; Magnoliopsida; Malpighiales; Euphorbiaceae. The record is from RNAcentral.
ACAGUAGGUGAUCUGCUGUUUCCUGGAUGUAAAGUGCCAGCAGAAAGUUAAUAAAUAAAGAGUGCAGCAUUGCAACAGAAAGUCAGCACCUCAAAUAAACAAAUUUUUUUUUUAAAAAAAACUCAGCACAAAAACAAGGCACUGAGGAGGGGGUAGAGAGUUAACAUCAAGCAACGGUGAUUACUGAGCCUAACAUGAGGGCAUUGGUGUGGUAGAAUCCCAGGUCAGGCACAUGGUAAGAAGAUCUGGCUUUAUAGUGAUAGUUUAGGUUCCAACCUUGUGAGGUGCCUUUUUAAGGGCACAGCUGUGAUGACCGAGAGUCCAAAGCAAACAAUCACUCACAUGUGCCGGGCCUAACAUUUACAUUUGGCAUCAAAGCCACCUCAGUGACAUUUCAUCACCUCUAACGAGGAUGUUAGAGAUCUUGUCAUGUGGGCGUUGGACUGUGCUGACUCCCACAUCGAGCGUAUGCUAAGGAUAUCUAGGCUUUAUAAUGAGGGUUUAGGUAGGUUAAAACAAUAACGCCAAAGGGCUAAAGCAGACAAUUCCUCACACGCGUUAAGCCUAAUCGUUAAGGGAGGGACCGCCCAGCCAUUGGACUGCACACAAAGGCAGGAGACGAAGAGAGAAAAUAUACUAACCGAUAAAGAGAAAUUGUGAAGCAAACAAAACAUACUUAGAAUACAUGAAAAAGAAGCACCAAAGUCUAAACCAUAUUAGAAAGCAGUGCUUUAUCUGCAAUUCUGGUCAAAACAUUCACAGAAAUGUGCCUUUGUGUUCAGUUUAAUACAAGUGCGUGUGUGUCAAUGUGCAAGUGUGUGUG